AUCUAUGUCCAUACUACCCUGAACAUGUCAGAUCUCAUCUGAUUUCAGAAGCUAAGCAGGAUUUGACUUGGUAAAUAUUUGGAUGGGAGAAAAAUUCCAAGCCAUAUGAGAC
Molecule: non-coding RNA, 112 nt
Organism: Erinaceus europaeus (western European hedgehog)
Lineage: Eukaryota; Metazoa; Chordata; Mammalia; Eulipotyphla; Erinaceidae
Source: Rfam